UCGGGAAUUUUGGGCAAUGGGCGAAAGCCUGACCCAGCAACGCCGCGUGAAGGAUGAAGUAUUUCGGUAUGUAAACUUCGAAAGAAUAGGAAGAAUAAAUGACGGUACUAUUUAUAAGGUCCGGCUAACUACGUGCCAGCAGCCGCGGUAAUACGUAGGGACCAAGCGUUGUUCGGAUUUACUGGGCGUAAAGCGCGUGUAGGCGGCUCUUCAAGUCAGGCGUGAAAGCCCCAGGCUCAACCUGGGAAAUGCGUUUGAUACUGUCGAGCUAGAGUGUGGAAGGGGCGAUUGGAAUUCCGUGUGUAGCGGUGAAAUGCGUAGAUAUACGGAGGAACACCAGAGGCGAAGGCGGAUCGCUGGGCCAACACUGACGCUGAGACGCGAAAGCUAGGGGAGCAAACGGGAUUAGAUACCCCCGUAGUCCCUGAGCGGGCUGGCAAGGCGCAU
This 447-nucleotide ribosomal RNA is filed under the name uncultured bacterium. RNAcentral describes it as "bacterial SSU rRNA". It matches the Rfam family "Bacterial small subunit ribosomal RNA", at positions 355 to 825 of the family's 1533-position model. The record is from RNAcentral.